UACGGAGGGUGCAAACGUUGCUCGGAAUCAUUGGGCGUAAAGCGCACGUAGGCGGCUUGUUAAGUCGGAUGUGAAAGCCCUCGGCUCAACCGAGGAAGUGCAUACGAAACUGGCGAGCUUGAAUAUGGAAGAGGGUCGCGGAAUUCCCGGUGUAGAGGUGAAAUUCGUAGAUAUCGGGAGGAACACCAGUGGCGAAGGCGGCGACCUGGGCCAAUAUUGACGCUGAGGUGCGAAAGCGUGGGAGCAAACAGG
This 252-nucleotide ribosomal RNA is filed under the name uncultured bacterium. RNAcentral describes it as "partial 16S ribosomal RNA". It matches the Rfam family "Bacterial small subunit ribosomal RNA", at positions 524 to 776 of the family's 1533-position model. The record is from RNAcentral.